UGUGUGUGUGUGUGUGUUCGGCAACGGCUGAGGAAAUAUUCUGGCUGCAUAAAGUACCGAGGAAAGCAAGCGCGAGCCAAUGAUGGAGGUCCGAGAAUG
Molecule: long non-coding RNA, 99 nt
Organism: Salarias fasciatus (jewelled blenny)
Lineage: Eukaryota; Metazoa; Chordata; Actinopteri; Blenniiformes; Blenniidae
Exons: 3
Source: RefSeq, a predicted model, not a curated record